RNAcentral lists this ribosomal RNA (470 nucleotides) under uncultured bacterium. RNAcentral describes it as "partial 16S ribosomal RNA". It matches the Rfam family "Bacterial small subunit ribosomal RNA", at positions 29 to 507 of the family's 1533-position model. The record is from RNAcentral.
AGUGAACGCUGGCGGUAGGCCUAACACAUGCAAGUCUUUCGGCAGCACAUUAAUGGCUUGCUUUUACGGGUGGCGAGUGGCGGACGGGUGAGGAAUACUUCGGCAUCUACUUUUUCGUGGGGGCUAACGUAGGUAAACUUACGCUAAUACCUCAUACGACCUCCUGGUGAAAGCAGUGGAUCUUCGGACCUGGCGCGAUAGUAUGAGCCGAUGUCCGAUUAGCUAGUUGGCGGGGUAACGGACCACCAAGGCGAUGAGAGGUAGCCGGUCUGAGAGGGUGGACGGCCACAAGGGGACUGAGAUACGGCCCUUACUACUACGGGAGGCAGCAGUGGGGAAUAUUGGACAAUGGGGGCAACACUGAUCCAGCAAUUCUGUGUGCACGAUGAAGGUUUUCGGAUUGUAAAGUGAUUGCAGCAGGGAAGAAAAAAAUGACGGUACCUGAAGAAGAAGCGACGGCUAAAUACGUG